UUCUACUAAUUCUUAGAUCUAUUAAUUUCUUAUGUUUACAUUGAAGCAUUGAAAUUAAAUAUUUGUCGCUUUUGCAUUCUUACUUUGAUUUAUGCAAUGUUAUCUUAUAUCUUUCGAUUAGAAAGGUGUCUUGCAGAAAGGACGAUUGAGAGUGAUGGGUGUCGACACAUGGUGCUAUUAGUUAUAUUAUUUGAUUGAGAGUUGUUUUGGGACCAAGUUUUGUCUCAUUUUUCUAUUGAUUAUUAUUCUUCUCUUUAAUUUCUCCACUCAUUUUAUUUAUAGCCUUUACAACUCUCUCUCCUUUCUUUAAUAAUGGUUGUUGACACGAGGUUUUGUGUUGUUGAAAACAUUGGGUGCUUAGACAUGGUACUUUGAUUGCGACCUGAGUGAGAGUUGUAUUGGGACCAGGUUUGUUUUGCUCUCCAAGUACAAAACAGUUCCCAAGAUUCGCAUUAUGAAGUGUACCUUUGGUUGUUGUAUGCGAAGAGCUCAAAAUUUAGAAAUUGUUCCUUUUGAUCCAAAAAUCAAAAAAACUUUUCAAAGACUUCGAAGGAAAAAUAAAAGAGUUUAUGCUCCAAGUAAAACAAUGGUUGAUCAACAAGAGGAAAAGACCAAGCCUUUGAGGGAUUAUGUUGUCCCAUAAGUACAAAAUCUCCACUUUAGUAUCCAAAGACCUUUUAUUCAAGCCAACAAUUCUGAAAUUAAGCCAUCAAUCAAUCAAAUGAUUCAGAUUGAUGUUCGGUUUGGAGGUUUGCCUAAUGAUGAUCUAAAUGCUCAUAUUGUAAAUUUCUUGAAAAUCUGCGAUACAUUCAAGGCUAAUGGUGUUACUGAUGAUGCCAUAAGAUUGAGGCUUUUCCCUUUUUCAUUGA
Theobroma umbraticum is the source of this 869-nucleotide long non-coding RNA. RefSeq lists it as uncharacterized. The record is from RefSeq and is a predicted model, not a curated record. NCBI's taxonomy places the organism in Eukaryota, Viridiplantae, Streptophyta, Magnoliopsida, Malvales, Malvaceae.